This 304-nucleotide long non-coding RNA is filed under the name Homo sapiens (human). Its description in RNAcentral is "HSALNT0244216". Lineage: Eukaryota; Metazoa; Chordata; Mammalia; Primates; Hominidae. The record is from RNAcentral.
CUGAAUUGAGGAGUGGAAUCCUCAGAACUGGGGGCCUGAAUCAGGGAGUUCUCAUUAGAUCUGGAGGAGGAAACUGAGCCAGAAGUUGUUCAGCAAACUGGGCUUCACAUUCAUAAGAGACCCAGGAAGAGACAUGGGAUCAGGGUUUGGAACCAGGGAGAGAAGAGAAAACUUUGAUCAGAAUGAGGCAAGUAAUUGAUUUCCUUAUGAAGAGGCCAGGCAGUCCAUUUUUCAUGGCGUUCAGCGUGCACAGCAAAUCUAAAACCAUUGUCUGGCAAAUGCAGCUCGCAGCCGCAAUUAUUUU